This 1305-nucleotide long non-coding RNA is filed under the name Canis lupus familiaris (dog). RNAcentral describes it as "lncRNA (ENSCAFG00845002723.1)". Lineage: Eukaryota; Metazoa; Chordata; Mammalia; Carnivora; Canidae. The record is from RNAcentral.
AUGAGGGGCACAGAGAGAGAGGCAGAGGGAGAAACCGACUCCCCGCAGGGAGCCGGAUGCGGGACUCGAUCCCAGGACCCCGGGGUCACGGCCCGACCGCAGGCAGGUGCUCAACCGCUGAGCCGCCCAGGUGCGCCUGGGGGCAACGCCUUAACCCCAGUUUCCCCACCUGUAAAAGGGGAGCGAGGAGCUAUCUCGGAGAACCGCCUCCUAGCCCGGUGCUUGCGAGAGUCGCGGCCUCAGAAGGAAGGCAGUGUUAAUGAAAUUCUUGGAGGCAAACAACUUAUGGCCUGGGAAUAUACCAAUUCUUGUGCUCGGUGAUAUUUGCAGAAAAAGUUUCCCAAGAUCUGAAUCGUGUGUACCAAAGGGAGCCAAAGAAGUGGGUAAUCAUUGCAGAAUAUAAAGACUAAACGGAGCAGGCUUCUUUUAACGACAUGGUAUUAAGUAAGCUGCAAUCUUUUCGCAGGCUGAAGGGAGAGAAGAGGGUCCUUAUCCCCCUACGUUAAAGGAUCCUUUGGAAACAGUCCAGUCCCCCCCCCCCCCUUUUUUUUUUUUUUUUUUUUUGCAAAAUGAUGGCAGUGAAACCUUGGAAGGCAUGGAUACAAAAGUGAAUGGCUGAAGGGAAAUUCUCUCGAAUCCAUGUUAGGGUCAAAAAUCUGCAUUUAAACCUUAAAAUGAAAGCCUUGAGUAUUCCUUUCCCCUCUUGACCAUAUUAUGCAGUUUCUAGCCUGUCACUUAAGAGCGACAGUUUUGAUCACAGCGCAAGUGUCAAACACCCUAGCAGACAGAGGAAACCGUGAGGGCGCCUUUGUAAACACAGCCGAGUCUUUCCUGAGCUUUGUCGCUGUAACAUGCCCUCCUGGGGGAGGGGGGGUCCCUUAUUACAUGAAGAAAGUUUUGCUAAUUAAACCUCCCAAAGCUCGGAGAGUCAAGUUUUAGUAUUUAAAAACGCCUCCCACCCUCCAUGUAACAAGUCACAUCAUUUCAGUCUUGCUAAAUGACCUCACAAAUCACCCAGAAAGAGGGCAUCUGAAAUGCCAACAAGACGGCGUACUUAGGCAUAAAACCAAGGACAAGCGUCUGUUUUAUCCUAAAUAUACCAUCGCAACCAGCAUGACUUGCGUUCACUAUUUUUACCCACACUGGCUCCUCCGCGUCUCAACCUCCCGUCAAAUCACCCGCUGAGUUGGGAAAACCCAGCCCGGGCGACGGUCGGGGCCGCGGCCGAACAGCCGGCGGCUGCAGCGCUCGGAGCUCUCGGCCUCCCUCCGCCGGGACCGGGCGGGCUACCGGGCGGGCUCCCGG